UACGGAGGGUGCAAGCAUUAAUCGGAUUUAUUGGGCGUAAAGGGCGCGUAGGCGGUAAGGAAAGUCAGAUGUGAAAUUCCGGGGCUCAACUUCGGAGCAGCAUCUGAAACUUCCAUACUGGAGGUAAGGCGGGGAAAACGGAAUUCCGCAUGUAGUGGUGAAAUACGUAGAUAUGCGGAAGAACACCGGUGGCGAAGGCGGUUUUCUAGCCUUUACCUGACGCUGAAGCGCGAAAGCGUGGGGAGCAAACAGG
Molecule: ribosomal RNA, 253 nt
Filed under: uncultured bacterium
Lineage: Bacteria
Description: partial 16S ribosomal RNA
Rfam family: Bacterial small subunit ribosomal RNA
Source: RNAcentral